UACGAAGGGGGCUAGCGUUGCUCGGAAUCACUGGGCGUAAAGGGUGCGUAGGCGGGUCUUUAAGUCAGGGGUGAAAGCCCGGGGCUCAACUCCGGAAUUGCCUUUAAGACUGCAUCGCUAGAAUUGUGGAGAGGUAAGUGGAAUUCCGAGUGUAGAGGUGAAAUUCGUAGAUAUUCGGAAGAACACCAGUGGCGAAGGCGACUUACUGGACACAUAUUGACGCUGAGGUGCGAAAGCGUGGGGAGCAAACAGG
Molecule: ribosomal RNA, 253 nt
Filed under: uncultured bacterium
Lineage: Bacteria
Description: partial 16S ribosomal RNA
Rfam family: Bacterial small subunit ribosomal RNA
Source: RNAcentral